Amblyraja radiata (thorny skate) is the source of this 161-nucleotide long non-coding RNA. RefSeq lists it as uncharacterized. NCBI's taxonomy places the organism in Eukaryota, Metazoa, Chordata, Chondrichthyes, Rajiformes, Rajidae. The record is from RefSeq and is a predicted model, not a curated record. The transcript is spliced from 3 exons.
AGGCCCAGAGAUUUGUGACUUCUUAAGGGCCUGUCCCACUGCGGCGACCUAAUUUGUGAGUUUAGAACAGUUUGCGCUUGACUCAAUCUCGCAGCAUGAUCAACACAUGGUCCUAGGAGGUCCUAGGAGGUAACUGUAACACUCGUUAAUGCUUGAGGGAA